This 879-nucleotide ribosomal RNA is filed under the name Triticum aestivum (bread wheat). Its description in RNAcentral is "partial small subunit ribosomal RNA". Lineage: Eukaryota; Viridiplantae; Streptophyta; Magnoliopsida; Poales; Poaceae. The record is from RNAcentral.
AUGGUUUGUCACUCUGUUCAGGAGGAUCUGUGGUGGUCUGCUUUUCCUGUUGGGACUGAGUGGGAAAACAUUGAUAUGAUAAAGGAAUUCAAUUGGAACUUCGAAAAUUUAGAGNNNNNNNNNNNNNNNNNNNNNNNNNNNNNUGGGAAGACGGUUUACUUGUUUGGAAGCACCGAGCCACAACAAUUGGAUGUUAAUGGUGAAUUGAAGAUUGUAGUUGUUCCUGUUGUACUUGCUGUUGACUGUCCUUUUCCUCCAUCAGAUAAGAUUGCCAUCAAUUUUGUUCAAACGGGAAAAGAAGAAAUAGUACCAAUGGAAGAGAUGAAGAUGUCAUGGGUGCCUUAUGUUCCUCUUCAGGACCGGUUUGGCGGGAUUGAAAGUUUGAAAACAAAAAUCUUCACUCUCUGUUGCACCCAGCGGAGGUCUGCGCUGAACCGUAUGAAAACUGAGAGUGCCAACAAGUUCUACUACUACACGCCCUCAGACAUGCCACUAAAUCCUCCUGAAGAUGAAGAUGGCACAGUUGUCCGCGUCAUAUAUCCUCUAGAACCCCCGAUAGUUUGUGAUUUUGACUUGAUGGAUGAUUACAAGGUUUUAGCUCAUAAGCUAGUCAAAGACGAGGGGUUGCCAGAGGAUGAGAGGGAAAAAAUUGAGGAAUUUCUAAAGGAGAAGGUUAAACAAAGGAAAAUAGAAGUGGAACAGGCUGAAGAAGCCAGGAAGAAAGCUAUUGAAGGUAUGGACCCUAAGCAAAGAGUGGCAUUUGAAAACAUGAAACUUUACAAAUUCUAUCCUGUGAAAACCCCGGAUACACCUGAUGUUAACAAUAUGAAGUCGAGGUACAUCAACAGAUAUUAUCGCCGCGCACAUUAUCUGAUGUAA